Perognathus longimembris pacificus (Pacific pocket mouse) is the source of this 393-nucleotide non-coding RNA. NCBI's taxonomy places the organism in Eukaryota, Metazoa, Chordata, Mammalia, Rodentia, Heteromyidae. The record is from the annotation of a RefSeq genome assembly.
AUGGACAUGAGGACCCCUGCUCAGCUCCUGGGGCUCCUGCUGCUCUGGCUCCCAGGUGCCAGAUGUGACAUCCAGAUGACCCAGUCUCCAGCCUCCCUGUCUGCAUCUCCAGGAGACACAGUCUCUCUCACUUGCCGGGCCAGUCAGGGGAUCUAUAAUAAUUUAAACUGGUAUCAGCAGAAACCUGGGAAAGCUCCUAAGCUUCUGAUCUAUUACACAUCCAAUUUGGCCUCUGGAGUUCCAUCGCGGUUCAGUGGCAGCGGAUCUGGGACAGAUUAUUCUCUCACCAUCAGCAGCCUGCAGCCUGAAGAUGUUGCCACUUAUUACUGUCAGCAGGAUUAUAGUUCUCCUCCCACAGUGAUACAAGUCAUAACAAAAACCUCCCAGGGAUAA